GGGUUUAAGGGUCCGUAGGCUGAUGUGUAAGUCAGUGGUGAAAUCUCACAGCUUAACUGUGAAACUGCCAUUGAUACUGCAAGUCUUGAGUGUUGUUGAAGUAGCUGGAAUAAGUAGUGUAGCGGUGAAAUGCAUAGAUAUUACUUAGAACACCAAUUGCGAAGGCAGGUUACUAAGCAACAACUGACGCUGAUGGACGAAAGCGUGGGGAGCGAACAGGAUUAGAUACCCUGGUAGUCCACGCCGUAAACGAUGCUAACUCGUUUUUGGGUUUUCGGAUUCAGAGACUAAGCGAAAGUGAUAAGUUAGCCACCUGGGGAGUACGGACGCAAGUCUGAAACUCAAG
RNAcentral lists this ribosomal RNA (346 nucleotides) under bacterium. RNAcentral describes it as "bacterial SSU rRNA". It matches the Rfam family "Bacterial small subunit ribosomal RNA", at positions 556 to 905 of the family's 1533-position model. The record is from RNAcentral.